RNAcentral lists this ribosomal RNA (778 nucleotides) under uncultured Neocallimastigales. RNAcentral describes it as "partial large subunit ribosomal RNA". It matches the Rfam family "Eukaryotic large subunit ribosomal RNA", at positions 23 to 621 of the family's 3401-position model. The record is from RNAcentral. Lineage: Eukaryota; Fungi; Neocallimastigomycota; Neocallimastigomycetes; Neocallimastigales.
UGAGACUCUGUGCGCGUGCAUAUCAAUAAGCGGAGGAAAAGAAACUAACAAGGAUUCCCUUAGUAACGGCGAGUGAAGCGGGAAGAGCUCAAAUUUGAAAUCUUCAAGGUUUUACCUUGACGAAUUGUAGUUUAAAGAAGUGUUUUCUGUUGAAGUUUUGGUAAAAGUUCUUUGGAAUAGGACAUCAUAGAGGGUGAGAAUCCCGUAUUUGACCAUUAUUUCCAGCUGUGUGAUACACUUUCAAAGAGUCGGAUUGUUUGGGAAUGCAGUCCAAAAUGGGUGGUAAAUUUCAUCUAAAGCUAAAUACUGGCGAGAGACCGAUAGCGAACAAGUACCGUGAGGGAAAGAUGAAAAGAACUUUGAAAAGAGAGUUAAACAGUACGUGAAAUUGUCAAAAGGGAAGCGUUUGACACCAGUGUUGUUUUCUCGAAAAUCAAUUAAAAAUGGCCGGAUUUUGUGUUGUAUUGACUUUAUCAGCUUUCUUCACUUUUUUCUUAUCCUUUUUAAUGCACUUUUCGGUUAACAAGUCAACAUCAAUUUCUUUUGUUGUAAAAGGGUAUGAGGAAGGUGGCUUUCUUUUCGGAGAAAGUGUUUAUAGCCUUGUAUCCUCUGCAAUCGGAGAGAUUGAGGUCUGCAGCGUAGAUCCUUCGGGGUUAGAUACAUUUGUGCUAAGUUAUAGCUUUUUCAUAGACAACUUGUUGACUAUAUUUAGUCUUGUAGGCUUACUCGCUUAUGCUAUUUUACCUACGCUUAGGAUGUUGAACUCUAUCACACACAG